Long non-coding RNA from Vespa mandarinia (Asian giant hornet), 390 nucleotides. Lineage: Eukaryota; Metazoa; Arthropoda; Insecta; Hymenoptera; Vespidae. The record is from RefSeq and is a predicted model, not a curated record.
UAAAAAUGUGAUAAUGUUAAGUAAUUAUGUUAUAUGAAAAUAAAUGAUAGUAAACAAAGGAGAGAAAAAAAAAAAAGAAAAAAAAAAGAAGAAAGAAAAAAGGAAGGAGAAAAGAAAGAAAUUAUCGUUUUCAACGCACGCGUAGCCCGCCUUUUAUUUAUAUAAAUUUAUAUAUGUAUACAUAUAUAUAUAUAUAUAUAUAUAUAUAUAUAUAUAGAUAGAUAGAUCGUCUUCGUGCCAAGCACUGACGAUGCAUAUAUAUCAUUAUUUACAAGUUUACAAGCGAAAGCAGCGAAACACCGAGUCCAGCAGACUCUCUCGACAUCGGAUUUUAAUCUCUAUUCCUUUUUUCCUCCGUGCAAAGAGAAGAAAACGAAGAAGAAGAAGAAG